RNAcentral lists this ribosomal RNA (253 nucleotides) under uncultured bacterium. Its description in RNAcentral is "partial 16S ribosomal RNA". It matches the Rfam family "Bacterial small subunit ribosomal RNA", at positions 524 to 776 of the family's 1533-position model. The record is from RNAcentral.
UACGUAGGGUGCGAGCGUUGUCCGGAAUUAUUGGGCGUAAAGAGCUCGUAGGCGGUUUGUCGCGUCUGCUGUGAAAACCCGGGGCUCAACUCCGGGCUUGCAUUCGAUACGGGCAGGCUAGAGUUCGGUAGGGGAGUCUGGAAUUCCUGGUGUAGCGGUGAAAUGCGCAGAUAUCAGGAGGAACACCGGUGGCGAAGGCGGGACUCUGGGCCGAUACUGACGCUGAGGAGCGAAAGCGUGGGGAGCAAACAGG